This 689-nucleotide long non-coding RNA is filed under the name Olea europaea (common olive). Its description in RNAcentral is "long non-coding RNA (OEUR_LNC001595)". Lineage: Eukaryota; Viridiplantae; Streptophyta; Magnoliopsida; Lamiales; Oleaceae. The record is from RNAcentral.
AUGAAACACACAAGACAGUAGGCUGACAAAUAAAAUACCUCUGUUAAAAAGGAGUUUAUGUUGCAAAAUGUCAUGAAUUGGAUAGCAGUACAUGCUCCAUCCGGAUCAACUGCAUAAACAGUGAAAAUAAUGCUCCAUCCAAAUCAACUGCAUAAAAUUUUCGACAAUCAAAUAAACAUGAAGGUCGAGCUUCAUUUUUUAAGCCAAAAACAGUGAAUUCAAUGAACCAUAACUUCUAAAUUGAACAAUAACUUCUAAACUGAAUUGAACAAUCUUCUUGAGAAAAGAUUUUGCAAAAUUGGGAAAAACACUUAGAAUACUACAAUGCAGUGGAAAUAAUUUUAAAUUACAAAUCGAAACACUCAAACACGGCCAAAUUAUUAUUCAAAUAAACGUGUUCCAUUUCAUUCGUUUCAUCUGGAAAUAAUUCUGUCCAGCGGCUCCAGCCAGUCCAGGAAAUCAAUGACAAUAAAUAAAAGCUUCAUAGACAUAAAGGACACAUUUUUUUACACUAGUAGUCGAACAAUUCAUGAAAUAUUACCUUCAUCGAUGCAAAACGGCAGUUCAGUUGCGGCGGCCUGCGGACUUGGGUGGGGGAAAAUUGGGGUUUCGAGUUUCGACUUUGGGGAUAUUUGAUACACUAAUCCAGGAGAUGCGGCCACCGGUGGAGGACUGGAAGUAGAAGUAGC